Rhinopithecus roxellana (golden snub-nosed monkey) is the source of this 434-nucleotide long non-coding RNA. RefSeq lists it as uncharacterized. The record is from RefSeq and is a predicted model, not a curated record. The transcript has 3 exons. Lineage: Eukaryota; Metazoa; Chordata; Mammalia; Primates; Cercopithecidae.
GCCUGCGGGUGCUGAGAAUAUUCGUGGGCCUUCACCUUUCCAGCAAGAACACAGAGGGGCCUCUCUCUGAGGGAAGUUUGGGGACACAGGUAUGGAAACUUCUGGAUGCCCGCCCUUGUGAGUUCACCUCUAUGUCUACUCUACUGAGGCCUCUCCAUACAGAUACAGUGACUUGUGGGAGGCCUGUUACAUCCUCAGGCCACAGCUGGUAAGGGAAGUGCAGGUGACCAUGUGUGGAUCAAGGACUGGAACGUGGCUCCUUUGCGGCCACGGUGGAGGGGGCCCCAGACCGUUAUCCUGACCACUCCCAUAGCUGUAAGGGUGGAAGGAAUCCCAGCCUGGAUUCACCACAGCCGCGUGAAGCCUGCAGCCGCUGAGACCUGGGAGGCCAAACCAAGCCUGGACAGUCCCUGCAAAGUGACCCUGAGGAAGAC